GCAGCCCGCCAACAGGCACCGUCGGAACCGAUAUGGAGCAGUGGCCGCCGCCGGUGCCGUCUGCUCCCGGAGCCUCCCAUACCUUCCUCAGCUCCACCGCCAACCACGACCACCCCCCACCUAGCCAUCUCCUCCACCACCUUCCCCGCCUCCUCCAUUGUCGAGCUCGGCAGGCACGCCGCCGACGCCAUACCUCCGCCAGCGCCUCUCCUACCUCCUCUGCCAGAGAAGUGCCACCUCCCAGCAUCACCACCACACACUAUUCCUCCUGGCCACCCCCUACGCGUCCUACACAGUCUCCUCCGAUGCCGACCUCCACAAGUACGCCGGCGGCUCUGUCCGUGCCCCAACGCUUCUCCGGCCUCCUCGCUUUCCUGCCGCUGAAUACCGCUCACCCACCACAAGCAGCACCUCCCCAUCCUCCUCGCCACCUCCCCCUUCUUCUCGGAUGCUGACCUCUGCAAGUACACCGCCGACUACACGCUGCUCCUCCUGCUAUUUCCCCUUCCUGGCUGACGCGCUCUAUGGCCUGUUCUGGUGCUAUGCUCGGCUACCGCCUCUACUUCCCAAACCUCAACAUGCCCAUCCUUGUCGCCUCCUAAAUUCAAAUUUUCUGUCAUCCAAAUCCACGCGCUUAUGUCGAACUGUCUAGAAACUACUCCUGCAGCCCAUUAUAAAUUAAGUGAGCAGGUAGAUGAGACUCACGCUACUCGGACCACAUCCUAAGAAGCAACACACUGGUUACACUCUCACACCUUCAGAUUGAACAGAGUGUGAGGAGGUGGAUUCACUGCCUUAGCCUUCUGAUCUGCUUCGCCAAGGGCAUAGGUCCAAAAGACAUUCAGUAAGAGUAGGAGUUUCCUGGAGAAAACCACGGAUUGAGGUCUGAAGCUGAAGAACUACAUGGUCAAUAAAGCAGCAGGCCUUACGUCUGAAAUGAUACAGCCCUUGUGCCAACAAAGUGCUGAAGGAAAACAAAAAGUGGUUGACGGCAGUAACAAGUCCAACAGAACUUGCCCCAAUGGCAUCCCAUAUGUUCGAACAAGUUUAUUUACGUGAAUCAACGAUGCGACAAAUUUAAGUCAUUCAUCUUCAGAUGAUGAAGUGAUAAAACAAUCAGCGCUUGUGAUUUUUCCUACUUGUAGUGGUGUGCUCACAUCAAUUGAGGUCUUGGAGCGAGGAGAAAGCUCAAAAGGGUGAAAGCGUGAAUGUGAAGCAAUAAGAUAUGCUAGCCGUACACCAGAAGAAAUCCAAGCAAGGCGAGUAAGUGUUAGAGCAUGUCAGCAAAAUAUGACACCUAAAGAGAAGGAGCCCGUCCCAGAAUGUGAGAUUGUAAAACAUGGUCAUUGAUAAUUUUGUUAUUAAGCAGUGCUUGCUGGAGAUGAAAAUCAAAGAGAUCACACCCCAUUGGUACAGGUGAGCGGAGUGGAGGUGUACGUUGCACUGAGGGUGAAGCAGUGGCUGAAAGUUAAGACUGGUUUUCUGUGCUUCACAAGCUGCUUUGUAGCAAAGUUAAAUACUCUGUUUUUUACAGUGAGGGGAGAUACUCUGUUUUUUGAUGGAAGAUACUCUGUUUUGUGGCUGGGGGAGCGUGUUAUUUCGGUCCUAUUCUUGUACAUCUAACCGUAAUAACAAUUGAUUACGCUCUCUGUUGAUUUUCGCGGCGUAACUUUUUUUUAGGCUAA
Molecule: long non-coding RNA, 1685 nt
Organism: Triticum dicoccoides
Lineage: Eukaryota; Viridiplantae; Streptophyta; Magnoliopsida; Poales; Poaceae
Exons: 5
Source: RefSeq, a predicted model, not a curated record